This is a long non-coding RNA of Perca fluviatilis (European perch), 1021 nucleotides long. RefSeq lists it as uncharacterized. The transcript is spliced from 2 exons. The record is from RefSeq and is a predicted model, not a curated record. Lineage: Eukaryota; Metazoa; Chordata; Actinopteri; Perciformes; Percidae.
UGAAUCAUAUCAAACAAUUACCCUGUUUUCCCAUAGAGGAGGAUGGAGAGCUGUGAUGGCAGAGGCGACAAAGUCUCAAUCCCUGCAGACCAUGAGAGCGUUUUCUGGCCGCAACUUCAGACACUGUGUGAUCUGCCCAUCCCGUCGCGUGAGAGAACACAGACACGUCUGUCAGCCGUCCAAGUCCUGAUUUUCCUGUUGGAUUGUCCAGUUCCCACUGCACCGCAGUCCACGUCACUCCACUGUUGUCCAGGGCAGGCUGCAGACAGACAUGCUACCUCCAGUUGCUUCAUUUCACCUGCCACUGAUGAGCUUUGGAGAUGUGAUUCACACUAUACCACCUAUUUCAUACCAACCAGUAUGUGAAGCAACCAUAGAUUGUUAAUAUACAGUCUAUGGUAGCAACACAGACAAAGUCCCACACCGGCUUCCUACCUGCAAACAUGGCCAACUGUGUUCGUUGGAACACACAACCAAGCCGAAGGUACCGUUACUGGGAACCAAUCCCAGAAUCUUUAUGGUGGAGGGACAGAGCUUUACCCCCAUGCACCCAGGAUUUUUGUUAUCAACAAAUCCUGUGAAGAGACUAAAACCAGCAAUGAAUUUAGUAUAGUCUGUGAAUCCACAGUCAUGUAAUGUUUCUUACACAGAACUCCAGUUAUCCAAAAAAUCCUAAAAACACAUGGAGCCAUCCUGUUGUCACAUAUUACUUUGUUGUGAUGAGCAUGGCCAGUGUAGUUUAUUCUUCUUAGUUCAUUAAUCUAGCAAAGCAUCAUUGAACAUGAGUGUGUUUACACUAAGUGUCUAAAACAACUCUGCGUCAGCAUUUUUUUAAUGUGUGAGUAUCUUAGUGUUGGGCAGAGUCCUGUCAGAAACUGGAUUUCUGUGGCACAAAGGCAUAAGCUAUAACACUCCAUCACUACACAGAUUUCACUUUUUUGCAAUAUAUAUGAAUAGUUGAUUUUGAUCUCUUCAGCCUAAGUGUUGAUAAAACUGUCAUUAACUGAGACACUUUCCACAA